This 458-nucleotide ribosomal RNA is filed under the name uncultured bacterium. RNAcentral describes it as "partial 16S ribosomal RNA". It matches the Rfam family "Bacterial small subunit ribosomal RNA", at positions 338 to 795 of the family's 1533-position model. The record is from RNAcentral.
CCUACGGGAGGCAGCAGUGAGGAAUAUUGGUCAAUGGGCGAGAGCCUGAACCAGCCAAGUCGCGUGAGGGAGUACUGCCCUAUGGGUUGUAAACCUCUUUUGUCGGGGAGCAAAAGCCGGACGUGUCCGGCUGUGAGAGUACCCGAAGAAAAAGCAUCGGCUAACUCCGUGCCAGCAGCCGCGGUAAUACGGAGGAUGCGAGCGUUAUCCGGAUUUAUUGGGUUUUAAGGGUGCGCAGGCGGAUUUUUAAGUCAGCGGUAAAAUCGUGGGGCUCAACCCCAUCCAGCCGUUGAAACUGGGGAUCUAGAGUGUGCGAGAGGUAUGCGGAAUGCGGGGUGUAGCGGUGAAAUGCAUAGAUAUCACGCAGAACCCCGAUUGCGAAGGCAGCAUACCGGUGCACAACUGACGCUCAGGCACGAAAGCGUGGGUAUCGAACAGGAUUAGAUACCCGGGUAGUC